AUGCAACGGAGGGCGGAGGCUCGCCACCUAAAAAAAUUAAAAGGCGCCCGCCGGCACCACAGGGCCUCCCACUUUCGACCACCGCUGGCUGUCCACCGCACCAUCUACCGCCUGGAUGCGUCCUCCUCUGACGUCGGUCAGCACCGCACACACCAGCUGCUCGAGCCCGCAGCCAUUGCGUCGACCUCGCGCCGCCUCGGCCUGGGUUCCGCCUUCCUCGCAGAUGCGGCAUCCGCGAUCCUGCAUUCCUGCUUCACCUCGGCUGCUUACAGCGAAGAUGAAGGCCGGCGCUGCGCUGAAAGGGGCACGGGGAGCCGGCAGCAUGGUCGGAAGGACGGGCGAGGUCUUGCAAGAAUAGCGUCAGCAGCAGAGCCCUACCACGGCCAGCAACCAGCUGCUGCUCCACUCGCUCCUGCGCCCGGGCACGUCGCAAGAGAGAUGGAUCGGUUGAUAUUCACAACCAUGAGCCUGGCGGCGGCAGAGGAAGCCGUCUACCACGACGACGGCGGAGAUGACGACUACUACGACGACCUGGGCCGGGAGGAGCAUCGCCUGCUGCGGGAGCUGCGCGCACGGCGGCUGCUGGCGUCGGGGCUGGAGCCGUGGUGCAUGGGGUCGGCGGUGACGACUCCGGCAAGGCGUUGGCCGACAGCGAGGUCGAGGAAUGGAGGAUUACGGAUUUGA
Molecule: ribosomal RNA, 684 nt
Filed under: Triticum aestivum (bread wheat)
Lineage: Eukaryota; Viridiplantae; Streptophyta; Magnoliopsida; Poales; Poaceae
Description: partial small subunit ribosomal RNA
Source: RNAcentral